GAUGAACGCUAGCUACAGGCUUAACACAUGCAAGUCGAGGGGCAUCAGGAAGAAAGCUUGCUUUUCUUUCGCCGGCGACCGGCGCACGGGUGAGUAACACGUAUCCAACCUGCCCUUUACUCGGGGAUAGCCUUUCGAAAGAAAGAUUAAUACCCGAUAGCAUAAUGAUUCCGCAUGGUUUCAUUAUUAAAGGAUUCCGGUAAAGGAUGGGGAUGCGUUCCAUUAGGUUGUUGGUGAGGUAACGGCCCACCAAGCCUUCGAUGGAUAGGGGUUCUGAAAGGAAGGUCCCCCACAUUGGAACUGAGACACGGUCCAAACUCCUACGGGAGGCAGCAGUGAGGAAUAUUGGUCAAUGGGCGCUAGCCUGAACCAGCCAAGUAGCGUGAAGGAUGAAGGCUCUAUGGGUCGUAAACUUCUUUUAUAUAAGAAUAAAGUGCAGUAUGUAUACUGUUUUGUAUGUAUUAUAUGAAUAAGGAUCGGCUAACUCCGUGCCAGCAGCCGCGGUAAUACGGAGGAUCCGAGCGUUAUCCGGAUUUAUUGGGUUUAAAGGGAGCGUAGGUGGACUGGUAAGUCAGUUGUGAAAGUUUGCGGCUCAACCGUAAAAUUGCAGUUGAUACUGUCAGUCUUGAGUACAGUAGAGGUGGGCGGAAUUCGUGGUGUAGCGGUGAAAUGCUUAGAUAUCACGAAGAACUCCGAUUGCGAAGGCAGCUCACUGGACUGCAACUGACACUGAUGCUCGAAAGUGUGGGUAUCAAACAGGAUUAGAUACCCUGGUAGUCCACACAGUAAACGAUGAAUACUCGCUGUUUGCGAUAUACAGUAAGCGGCCAAGCGAAAGCAUUAAGUAUUCCACCUGGGGAGUACGCCGGCAACGGUGAAACUCAAAGGAAUUGACGGGGGCCCGCACAAGCGGAGGAACAUGUGGUUUAAUUCGAUGAUACGCGAGGAACCUUACCCGGGCUUAAAUUGCAGUGGAAUGAUGUGGAAACAUGUCAGUGAGCAAUCACCGCUGUGAAGGUGCUGCAUGGUUGUCGUCAGCUCGUGCCGUGAGGUGUCGGCUUAAGUGCCAUAACGAGCGCAACCCUUAUCUUCAGUUACUAACAGGUCAUGCUGAGGACUCUGGAGAGACUGCCGUCGUAAGAUGUGAGGAAGGUGGGGAUGACGUCAAAUCAGCACGGCCCUUACGUCCGGGGCUACACACGUGUUACAAUGGGGGGUACAGAAGGCAGCUAGCGGGUGACCGUAUGCUAAUCCCAAAAUCCUCUCUCAGUUCGGAUCGAAGUCUGCAACCCGACUUCGUGAAGCUGGAUUCGCUAGUAAUCGCGCAUCAGCCACGGCGCGGUGAAUACGUUCCCGGGCCU
This 1361-nucleotide ribosomal RNA is filed under the name uncultured bacterium. RNAcentral's name for it is "bacterial SSU rRNA". It matches the Rfam family "Bacterial small subunit ribosomal RNA", at positions 28 to 1381 of the family's 1533-position model. The record is from RNAcentral.